Long non-coding RNA from Nomascus leucogenys (northern white-cheeked gibbon), 1381 nucleotides. RefSeq lists it as uncharacterized. The transcript is spliced from 2 exons. The record is from RefSeq and is a predicted model, not a curated record. NCBI's taxonomy places the organism in Eukaryota, Metazoa, Chordata, Mammalia, Primates, Hylobatidae.
UCCUGAGUAGCCAAGACCACAGGUACACACCACCACACCCAGAUUCAUUCUUCAAAAGUGUCAAGGUCGUGAAAGAAAAGUCAUGACUAUAGGAACAGUUACAGACUGCAGGUAACUGUGCAGAAACUGCAAAUAAAUGCAAUAUGGCAUCCUGGAAAAACUGGUGAAAUUUAGGAAGGUCUUUAGUUAAUGGUUUUAUGCUAGUGUUGAUUUCCUGGUUCUGAUCCUUGUACUGUCUCUAUGUAAGACAUUAACCUUAGAGGAAGCUGGGUAAGUUAUACAUCUAUGGAAGAUCCCCAUACUGAUUCUAUUACUUUUCUGUGAGACCAAAACUACUUGAAAAUAAAAAGGGAAACAACUGUCAAAUACUAGGAUUAAAUCUGACAAAGAUGCACACAAGAUCUCUAUACACAUGAGCGAACACACACACACACACACACACCCCCCAUAAAACAUGUUUGAAAAGCACUAAGACAAAACAAAAAACAAAAGGAGAGAGAUACCACAUUCAUAGAUUGAGUGGCCACUGCUAUAGAGGUGACACUCAGCACAUUGAGCUAUAGGUUUGAAGGUCACCCAGCAGCGCUGUUUUGCUUUGUUUGUAUGAAAAUUGACCAAGUGAUUCUGGAAUGUAUCUGCGAAAGAGCCAAGAAUGGCAAAUAAUCCAAAGAAGAAUUUGGUGAGAGGACUUGCUCUUCUUGAUAUUAGGACCUCAUGUCGGUGAAGACAGUGCGAUGUUCUCACACGGAGACCAGCGGCCGUGGGUUCAGAAACAGCCCCCAGGCAUGUGGGCGCUUCCUGGCGAGGGGGCCUACAGAGCCGUGGGGAAGAAUGGAGAUUUCAGUCAGUGGUGGGGUCCAAUCAGAAACCUGUAUGAGGAGAGAGAGGACAGGUGUCUGCUACUUUACUGCAUUCACAACAGGCAGUUCCAGAUGGACUGGUGAGCGCACGGGAAGGCAAAACCAUAAAGCCUGUAGAAGAUCACAUGGGAGAACAGCUUCAGGAACUUGGAGCUGGAAAGAUUUAUUUCAGAGACCACUACAAAAAAUACCCAAAAGAAAACCCGUUAAAAUCGGUGGAAUCCUCUGCUGCGGAGUCCUUCCGGCGGGCCCUCCAUAGAAGUGCAUGUUUCCUGUCUCUGUUCUCUUACUGCUGAGAGUAUCAGAGGAGUGUAGAACUUUAAACAACGGCACGGUCCUUGAAGGAGAAUCAUCCUUCUAUUCCCAGAUCAGCUAAAUAUUUUUAAAUUCCCAAAUCAAAGCUUGAGGGACUUUUUGUGACUCUGUUGAAAUGAAUUAUCAUAUCUUGUAUAACAAAAAAUUACCAGUUUAAGUCCCCACUGUAUUCAUAUAUUAAAAGAGGGAUAACCACUCUGCCUCUA